Molecule: ribosomal RNA, 479 nt
Filed under: uncultured bacterium
Lineage: Bacteria
Description: partial 16S ribosomal RNA
Rfam family: Bacterial small subunit ribosomal RNA
Source: RNAcentral
GACGAACGCUGGCGGCGUGCUUAACACAUGCAAGUCGAACGAAGCUUGAUUACGGAUUCUUCGGAUGAAGUAUGAUAUGACUGAGUGGCGGACGGGUGAGUAACGCGUGAGUAACCUGCCCUUCAGAGGGGGAUAGCGUUUGGAAACGAACGGUAAUACCGCAUAAUGUAUUUUGACCGCAUGAUCGAAAUACCAAAGAUUUAUCGCUGAAGGAUGGACUCGCGUCUGAUUAGGUAGUUGGUGGGGUAACGGCCUACCAAGCCGACGAUCAGUAGCCGGACUGAGAGGUUGAUCGGCCACAUUGGGACUGAGACACGGCCCAGACUCCUACGGGAGGCAGCAGUGGGGAAUAUUGCACAAUGGGCGCAAGCCGGAUGCAGCAACGCCGCGUGAAGGAAGACGGUUUUCGGAUUGUAAACUUCUGUUCUUAGUGAAGAAUAAUGACGGUAGCUAAGGAGCAAGCCACGGCUAACUACGUG